GUGUGCGCCACAACUACUGAAGCCCGUGUGCCUAGAGCCUGUGCUCCGCAGCAAGAGAAGCCACCGCCAUAAGCCCGUGCAUUGCAGCAAAGAGGAGCCCCCGCCCUCCGCAGCUAGAGCAAGUCCACGCAGCAACAAAGACCCAGCAUGACCAAGAGCAUCAGAUUACAGACUGGAGAGUCCCAAGCAGAAGUCUAUGGCAUAUCACAAGAGGUCUCCCUGCAGAGCAUCGGAUCCAUCACUCCCCUCCUCCUGCCACUGGCACGACAACCUUGAACCCACAGCUGCUUCUUCUUCUGAGAGAGGAGGUAGUCCACAUCCACACCGCACUGCAGUGAAGGACAGGGCACGGGAUGUGCAGGCUGCA
This is a non-coding RNA of Odocoileus virginianus texanus, 367 nucleotides long. The record is from RefSeq and is a predicted model, not a curated record. NCBI's taxonomy places the organism in Eukaryota, Metazoa, Chordata, Mammalia, Artiodactyla, Cervidae.